UACAGAGGUGGCAAGCGUUGUUCGGAAUUACUGGGCGUAAAGGGCGAGUAGGUGGCCAUCUAAGUCAGAUGUGAAAUCCCCGGGCUUAACCUGGGAAUGGCAUUUGGGACUGCAAGGCUUGAGUGCGGCAGAGGGGACUAGAAUUCCUGGUGUAGCAGUGAAAUGCGUAGAUAUCAGGAGGAAUACCGAUGGCGAAGGCAGGUCUCUGGGCUGACACUGACGCUCAUGCACGAAAGCGUGGGGAGCAAACAGG
This 253-nucleotide ribosomal RNA is filed under the name uncultured bacterium. Its description in RNAcentral is "partial 16S ribosomal RNA". It matches the Rfam family "Bacterial small subunit ribosomal RNA", at positions 524 to 776 of the family's 1533-position model. The record is from RNAcentral.